AUACGUAGGUGACAAGCGUUAUCCGGAUUUACUGGGCGUAAAGGGCGUGUAGGCGGUCUUGCAAGUCAGAAGUGAAAUUCCUGAGCUCAACUCGGGCGCUGCUUCUGAAACUGCAGGACUUGAGUGCUGGAGGGGAUAGCGGAAUUCCUAGUGGAGCGGUAAAAUGAGCAGAUAUUAGGAAGAACACCGGUGGCGAAGGCGGCUAUCUGGACAGUAACGGAGGCUGAAGCUCGAAACCGUGGGGAGCAAACAGGUAGAUAUACCCUGGUGGUCCACGCCGUAAACGAUGAAUACUAGGUGGAGGGGGUAUCGACUCCCUCUGUGCCGCAGUUAACACAAUAAGUAUUCCGCCUGGGGAGUACGGCAGCAAGGUUGAAACUCAAAGGAAUUGACGGGG
Molecule: ribosomal RNA, 397 nt
Filed under: uncultured bacterium
Lineage: Bacteria
Description: partial 16S ribosomal RNA
Rfam family: Bacterial small subunit ribosomal RNA
Source: RNAcentral